Long non-coding RNA from Peromyscus eremicus (cactus mouse), 701 nucleotides. RefSeq lists it as uncharacterized. The transcript is spliced from 3 exons. Lineage: Eukaryota; Metazoa; Chordata; Mammalia; Rodentia; Cricetidae. The record is from RefSeq and is a predicted model, not a curated record.
CACGUGAGUAGCCCACUGAGGCCUGCUCAGAGAGGUAGAUCUGGAUAUGCUGUUAGGGCCAACUGUGGGAGUCUGGUAAGAGAGCAUGAUGUUGGGAUCCCAGCCACAGAUACUUUUGUCCAGGUUGUCCCAUGAGCUACUCUCCAGGCUGAGAGAAGCCUCAAGUGAUCCCAGAUGUCCUCCCUGGAGUCUGCCGUGGCAGGCCACCUCUGCUGACUGAGUUCUUUGAACAAGAAGGACCUCCAUGCAAGGUCUGCUGGUCUCUUCUGACCCUAACACUAGGACCAUGUCACUCCAAAGGAAGCCACUAGGACCUACUCACUCCAAAGGAAGCCAUGGGCGGGAGGUUCUGUGGUCCCAGGAGUGACUGUCAUCUGAUCUCUGUGGGGCCCCGUGUCCUAAACCUGACUCAACAGCGUCUGUCUGUGGGAUGCACUGUUUAUGUCUGAGUCUAAGAUACUCUGCUCUGCCAAAAGCAAGGAUAUCUGCACCUCCCAACACACUGGAGCUGUGCCUAGGCCUGUACGCAGCUCACUCUUUUAACCCAGAACAAGCUCAUGGGAAAGGCAUGAGAACAAAUACAGCCUCAAGUCUCGGGGGCUAACAGGUGCUGAUACAAGUCAACACAGGAUCAAACUCCAGCCCCGAGUGUGAACUGCGCCUGAACCUUUCUGAAGAAUAAAGACUGUUCAGCAAUCAUC